ACGCUGGCGGCACGCCUAACACAUGCAAGUCGAACGAAGUAGCAAUACUUAGUGGCAGACGGGUGAGUAACAUGUAGGUAUCUGCCCUUUGGCCUGGAAUAACACGAGGAAACUUGUGCUAAUACCGGAUAAGUCUUUACGGAGAAAGCUUUAUGCACCAUUGGAUGAGCCUGCACUUGAUUAGUUUGUUGGUGGGGUAAUGGCCUACCAAGACUGUGAUCAAUAGCUGAUUUGAGAGGAUGAUCAGCCACAUUGGGACUGGGACACGGCCCAAACUCCUACGGGAGGCAGCAGUGGGGAAUCUUGCACAAUGGAGGAAACUCUGAUGCAGCGAUGCCGCGUGAGUGAAGAAGGCCUUUGGGUUGUAAAGCUCUUUCGUCGGGGAAGAAAAUGACUGUACCCGAAUAAGAAGGUCCGGCUAACUUCGUGCCAGCAGCCGCGGUAAUACGAAGGGACCUAGCGUAGUUCGGAAUUACUGGGCUUAAAGAGUUCGUAGGUGGUUGAAAAAGUUGGUGGUGAAAUCCCAGAGCUUAACUCUGGAACUGCCAUCAAAACUUUUCAGCUAGAGUAUGAUAGAGGAAAGCAGAAUUUCUAGUGUAGAGGUGAAAUUCGUAGAUAUUAGAAAGAAUACCAAUUGCGAAGGCAGCUUUCUGGAUCAUUACUGACACUGAGGAACGAAAGCAUGGGUAGCGAAGAGGAUUAGAUACCCUCGUAGUCCAUGCCGUAAACGAUGUGUGUUAGACGUUGGAAAUUUAUUUUCAGUGUCGCAGCGAAAGCGAUAAACACACCGCCUGGGGAGUACGACCGCAAGGUUAAAACUCAAAUGAAUUGACGGGGACCCGCACAAGUAGUGGAGCAUGUGGUUUAAUUCGAAGAUACGCGCAGAACCUUACCAACACUUGACAUGUUCGUCGCGACUCUAAGAGAUUAGAGUUUUCGGUUCGGCCGGACGAAACACAGGUGCUGCAUGGCUGUCGUCAGCUCGUGUCGUGAGAUGUUGGGUUAAGUCCCGCAACGAGCGCAACCCUCACUUUUAGUUGCCAUCAUUAAGUUGGGCACUCUGAAAGAACUGCCAGUGAUAAGCUGGAGGAAGGUGGGGAUGACGUCAAGUCCUCAUGGCCCUUACGUGUUGGGCUACACACGUGCUACAAUGGUAUCUACAACAGGAAGCAAGACUGCGAAGUUAAGCAAAUCCCUAAAAGAUACCUCAGUUCGGAUUGCACUCUGCAACUCGAGUGCAUGAAGCUGGAAUUACUAGUAAUCGUGGAUCAGCGUGCCACGGUGAAUGCGUCCCCGGGUCUUGUACACACCGC
Molecule: ribosomal RNA, 1313 nt
Filed under: uncultured Alphaproteobacteria bacterium
Lineage: Bacteria; Pseudomonadati; Pseudomonadota; Alphaproteobacteria
Description: uncultured alpha proteobacterium 16S ribosomal RNA
Rfam family: Bacterial small subunit ribosomal RNA
Source: RNAcentral